GAUGAACGCUGGCGGCGUGCCUAAUACAUGCAAGUCGAGCGAACAGAUGAGGAGCUUGCUCCUCUGACGUUAGCGGCGGACGGGUGAGUAACACGUGGAUAACCCACCUAUAAGACUGGGAUAACUUCGGGAAACCGGAGCUAAUACCGGAUAAUAUAUUGAACCGCAUGGUUCAAUAGUGAAAGACGGUUUUGCUGUCACUUAUCGAUGGAUCCGCGCCGCAUUAGCUAGUUGGUAAGGUAACGGCUUUCCACGGCGACGAUGCGUAGCCGACCUGAGAGGGUGAUCGGCCACACUGGAACGGGGACACGGUCCAGACUCCUACGGGAGGCAGCAGUAGGGAAUCUUCCGCAAUGGGCGAAAGCCUGACGGAGCAGCGCCGCGUGAGUGAUGAAGGUCUUCGGAUCGUAAAGCUCUGUUAUUAGGGAAGAACAAAUGUGUAAGUAACUAUGCACGUCUUGACGGUACCUAAUCAGAAAGCCACGGCUAACUACGUG
This 497-nucleotide ribosomal RNA is filed under the name uncultured bacterium. RNAcentral's name for it is "partial 16S ribosomal RNA". It matches the Rfam family "Bacterial small subunit ribosomal RNA", at positions 28 to 507 of the family's 1533-position model. The record is from RNAcentral.